This 312-nucleotide signal recognition particle RNA is filed under the name Methanomassiliicoccales archaeon. Its description in RNAcentral is "signal recognition particle sRNA". It matches the Rfam family "Archaeal signal recognition particle RNA". Lineage: Archaea; Methanobacteriati; Thermoplasmatota; Thermoplasmata; Methanomassiliicoccales. The record is from RNAcentral.
CGCUAGGCUUGACCGGGACGUUCGGCGUGCCCUUGUACACCGUGAACCGUCGAUAGCGGGGGUGACAGCGGAGGACGACGUAACUGGAACCGUGCAUGCCCAGUCGUCGACUAUGAGGCUCUGUCCUUCGGGGCCGGCGGCGGUCUCGCGGCGUAGCUGGAGGGCUACGCCCCUGGCCCUGAUCAGGGGGAACGGGUCAGGCCCUGACGGGAGCAGCCUAACCCUGGACUACCGGCGCUCGAAGGGGGGCGGGGCUGAGCAGGCGACUGGAUCACAUGUCCGGGACCAGGCGGCAACCUCCGCGGCCUAGCA